RNAcentral lists this ribosomal RNA (254 nucleotides) under uncultured bacterium. RNAcentral's name for it is "partial 16S ribosomal RNA". It matches the Rfam family "Bacterial small subunit ribosomal RNA", at positions 524 to 776 of the family's 1533-position model. The record is from RNAcentral.
UACGGAGGGUGCAAGCGUUGUCCGGAUUUAUUGGGUUUAAAGGGUGCGUAGGCGGCUAUUUAAGUCAGUGGUGAAAGGCAUCAGCUUAACUGUUAGCAUUGCCAUUGAUACUGGGUAGCUUGAGUGCAGUUGAGGUAGGCGGAAUUUAUGGUGUAGCGGUGAAAUGCAUAGAUACCAUAAAGAACACCGAUUGCGAAGGCAGCUUACUAAACUGUAACUGACGCUGAGGCACGAAAGCGUGGGGAUCGAACAGG